AUUGAACGCUGGCGGCAUGCUUUACACAUGCAAGUCGAACGGUAACAGCACUUCGGUGGCUGACGAGUGGCGAACGGGUGAGUAAUGUAUCGGAACGUGCCCAGUAGUGGGGGAUAACUACUCGAAAGAGUGGCUAAUACCGCAUGAGAUCUCUGGAUGAAAGCGGGGGACCGUAAGGCCUCGCGCUACUGGAGCGGCCGAUAUCAGAUUAGGUUGUUGGUGGGGUAAAGGCCUACCAAGCCUGCGAUCUGUAGCUGGUCUGAGAGGACGACCAGCCACACUGGGACUGAGACACGGCCCAGACUCCUACGGGAGGCAGCAGUGGGGAAUUUUGGACAAUGGACGCAAGUCUGAUCCAGCAAUGCCGCGUGCAGGACGAAGGCCUUC
This 387-nucleotide ribosomal RNA is filed under the name uncultured bacterium. RNAcentral's name for it is "bacterial SSU rRNA". It matches the Rfam family "Bacterial small subunit ribosomal RNA", at positions 30 to 419 of the family's 1533-position model. The record is from RNAcentral.